AUGCAGAAUAGCCUGUCAAUAUAGCCCAAGAUGACUGCCUAUCAUUUCAACCCCAAAACAGAUGUUUUGUGCUAAAUUAUUAAUAGCACUGUACCCCUUUGAGGUGGAGGGUAGUAUGCAGGCAAGUCAUCCUUGGCUAAUAAACAAAGACUCUUCUCU
Molecule: non-coding RNA, 159 nt
Organism: Nicotiana sylvestris (wood tobacco)
Lineage: Eukaryota; Viridiplantae; Streptophyta; Magnoliopsida; Solanales; Solanaceae
Source: Rfam